Molecule: transfer RNA, 86 nt
Filed under: Ferruginibacter sp.
Lineage: Bacteria; Pseudomonadati; Bacteroidota; Chitinophagia; Chitinophagales; Chitinophagaceae
Description: tRNA-Leu
Rfam family: tRNA
About the family: Transfer RNA (tRNA) molecules are approximately 80 nucleotides in length. Their secondary structure includes four short double-helical elements and three loops (D, anti-codon, and T loops).
Source: RNAcentral
ACUCGGGUGGUGGAAUUGGUAGACACGCAGGACUUAAAAUCCUGUUUUCAGUAAUGAAAGUGUGGGUUCAACUCCCAUCCCGAGUA